Molecule: ribosomal RNA, 428 nt
Filed under: uncultured bacterium
Lineage: Bacteria
Description: partial 16S ribosomal RNA
Rfam family: Bacterial small subunit ribosomal RNA
Source: RNAcentral
GUGGGGAAUAUUGCACAAUGGAGGAAACUCUGAUGCAGCGACGCCGCGUGAGUGAUGAAGGCCUUCGGGUCGUAAAGCUCUGUCGCAGGGGAAUAACACAAUGAAGGUACCCUGUAAGAAAGGAUCGGCUAACUUCGUGCCAGCAGCCGCGGUAAGACGAGGGAUCCUAGCGUUGUUCGGAAUCAUUGGGCGUAAAGCGGAUGUAGGUGGCUAUGUAAGUCAGAUGUGAAAGCCUGGGGCUCAACCCCAGAAGUGCAUUUGAUACUGCGUAGCUUGAGUGUCGGAGAGGUUACUAGAAUUGUUGGUGUAGUGGUGAAAUACGUAGAUAUCAACAGGAAUACCGGAGGCGAAGGCGGGUAACUGGCCGAACACUGACACUGAGAUCCGAAAGCGUGGGGAUCAAACAGGAUUAGAUACCCUGGUAGUCC